RNAcentral lists this ribosomal RNA (564 nucleotides) under uncultured Glomeromycotina. Its description in RNAcentral is "SSU rRNA". It matches the Rfam family "Eukaryotic small subunit ribosomal RNA", at positions 548 to 1114 of the family's 1831-position model. Lineage: Eukaryota; Fungi; Glomeromycota. The record is from RNAcentral.
UUGGAGGGCAAGUCUGGUGCCAGCAGCCGCGGUAAUUCCAGCUCCAAUAGCGUAUAUUAAAGUUGUUGCAGUUAAAAAGCUCGUAGUUGAAUUUCGGGAUCAGAGUGUCGGUCGUGCCUCGGUACGCACUGGUAUUAUUGGUUCCUACCUUCUGAAGAACCGCGAUGUCAUUAAUUUGGUGUCGUGGGGAAUCAGGACUGUUACUUUGAAAAAAUUAGAGUGUUUAAAGCAGGCUUACGCUUGAAUACAUUAGCAUGGAAUAAUGAAAUAGGACGUUUGAUACUAUUUUGUUGGUUUCUAGGAUUGACGUAAUGAUUAAUAGGGAUAGUUGGGGGCAUUAGCAUUCAAUUGUCAGAGGUGAAAUUCUUGGAUUUAUUGAAGACUAACUACUGCGAAAGCAUUUGCCAAGGAUGUUUUCAUUAAUCAAGAACGAAAGUUAGGGGAUCGAAGACGAUCAGAUACCGUCGUAGUCUUAACCAUAAACUAUGCCGACUAGGGAUCGGAUGAUGUUAAUUUUUUAAUGACUCAUUCGGCGCCUUACGGGAAACCAAAGUGUUUGGGUUC